RNAcentral lists this long non-coding RNA (247 nucleotides) under Setaria viridis. Its description in RNAcentral is "long non-coding RNA (SVIR_LNC000706)". Lineage: Eukaryota; Viridiplantae; Streptophyta; Magnoliopsida; Poales; Poaceae. The record is from RNAcentral.
UUCUCUUCAUGAUCCAUACCAAGCCUACAUCAUUUGGGUUGAUCCUUAAGAAUUUUUCAUACAUAUUUUAGUGUAAAUGACUUCUUUUUGAUUUUGGGUUUAAACAUAGCAUGGGCUCUAUCCAUCAGCAUUUCAUCAUAUCACCACUACAAAAAUCUAUUUGGCCAUAAACCCCACUAAAGUUGGCAACAACCAUACAUAUUUUUUCCCAAUGUCAUUUCAGUUGUCCCUUUGACCUUGUUCUUUC